This is a long non-coding RNA of Serinus canaria (Common canary), 482 nucleotides long. RefSeq lists it as uncharacterized. The record is from RefSeq and is a predicted model, not a curated record. NCBI's taxonomy places the organism in Eukaryota, Metazoa, Chordata, Aves, Passeriformes, Fringillidae. The transcript is spliced from 3 exons.
GUUCUCAUCCUCGGUUACCGGGCCGUGAGUCCGUGCGGGGCGACUCGGCCUGGGGGUGUCCUGGGCUCCGGAGAGGGCGGCCCUGACCUCCGGGGGUCUCUACGUGAGACCGGGGCUGCUCCACUGGGGAUUACCGGGAACGGCAGGUGCACCGGAUGGGCGCAGCACGCUUCCAGGUGGUCAAACCCUCCCCAAAAAGCUGAGAGCUGGGGGAGGACGUGGCAGGUGCUGUCCCUCCUGGGGAGGGGGUCCCAGGGUGCUCUGGGCCCUGAUCCUCCCUGUGCCUGUUGUGCUGACCUGGCCCUGCAGAGCUGGGAGGUGAGGACAGAUGGAAGGAAGAAGCUGGUGGAGUUGUGAGGGGCCAUUUUCCUCAAGUCUUCAGCCAAGGAGAGCCAGGUAUGGGGCACAGAGCCCACCUGGAGCCCCAGUGUGCUGGCACUGAUGUCCCCUCAUCCUCAGGCGACCACGGGGAUCUUCAUAAA